RNAcentral lists this ribosomal RNA (253 nucleotides) under uncultured bacterium. RNAcentral's name for it is "partial 16S ribosomal RNA". It matches the Rfam family "Bacterial small subunit ribosomal RNA", at positions 524 to 776 of the family's 1533-position model. The record is from RNAcentral.
UACGAAGGGGGCUAGCGUUGUUCGGAAUCACUGGGCGUAAAGCGCACGUAGGCGGAUUGUUAAGUCAGGGGUGAAAGCCUGGAGCUCAACUCCAGAACUGCCUUUGAUACUGGCAAUCUCGAGUCCGGAAGAGGUAAGUGGAACUCCGAGUGUAGAGGUGAAAUUCGUAGAUAUUCGGAAGAACACCAGUGGCGAAGGCGGCUUACUGGUCCGGUACUGACGCUGAGGUGCGAAAGCGUGGGGAGCAAACAGG